UGUUAUCUGAUCACAUAUUUACUUUUGUAUAGGCAAGCACAUCUUACCCUCAACUGUUGUCAAGGCAACACUCCACGUGUGUUGUGUCAAAAACGCCCCACAGAACAGAGGGGCGGGGCGAGCAAAGCUCAUUAGCAUUUAAAAACACAUGCACUAAAACCGUGUGCUGAAAACAGAGCUGUUUUUGAGCAGGUAAAAUGAGUGUUUUCUUACAAUACUAAUGAGAAUUUUUAAUUAAAGUAUAUUACAAACUUUCAAUUUAGACCCUAAAGAAUCAUAUUAGCUUGUACAAAAAUGGCAUUACAUGACCCCUUUAAAUGUGCAAGCACACGAAGUUAGUCUAGCCCCUGUCUCGUACAGCUAUGAAUGACACAAAAAUGAUAACAUUAAUAUAACACUGAUAUAAAAGACACUAAACAACGCCGGUACAAUACUUACCCUCCCAAUAGAUGCACGAAAACAAGCCAAAGCGAGCCGUGACUAAAUUAACCACACUGCUUGUGUGCAAAAUAAUAAUAAUAAUUUUUAGUGAAUUGUUGGCCUUCUGGAAAGUAUGUUCAUUUACUGUAUAUGUACUCAAUAUUUCGUAGGGGUUCCUUUUGCUUUAAUUACUGCCCCAAUUCGGCAUGGCAUAGAGGUGAUCAGUUUGUGGCACUGCAGAGGUGGUAUGGAAGCCCAGUUUGCUUUGAUAGCAGCCUUCAGCUCAUCUGCAUUGUUGGGUCUGGUGUCUCUCAUCUUCCUCUAGGCAAUACCCCAUAGAUUCUCUAUGGGGUUCAGGUCAGGCGAGUUUGCUGGCCAAUCAAGCACAGUAACACUAUGGUCAUUGAACCAGCUUUUGGUACCUUUGGCAGUGUGGGCAGGUGCCAAGUCCUGCUGGAAAAUGAAAUCAGCAUCUCCAUAAAGCUUGUCAGCAGAAGGAAGCAUGAAGUGCUCUAAAAUUAUGGCUGCGUUGACUGUGGACUUCAGAAAACACAGUGGACCAACACCAGCAGAUGACAUGGCAGCCCAAAUCAUCACAGACUGUAGAAACUUCACACUGGACUUUAAGCAACAUGGAUUCUGUGCCUCUCCACUCUUCCUCCAGACUCUGGGACCUUGAUUUCCAAAUGAAAUGCAAAAUUUACUUUCAUCUGAAAAGAGGACUUUGGACCACUGAGCAACAGUCCAGUUCUUUUUCUCCUUAGCCCAGGUAAGACGCUUCUGACGUUGUCUCUGGUUCAGAAGUGGCUUGGUAGCCCUUUUCCUGAAGAUGUCUGAGCGUGGUGACUCUUGAUGCACUGACUCCAGCUUCAGUCCACUCCUUGUGAAGCUCUCCCAAGUGUUUGAAUCAGCUUUGCUUGACUGUAUUCUCAAGCUUGCGGUCAUCCCUGUUGCUUGUGCACCUUUUCCUACCCAAAUUCUUCCUUCCAGUCAACUUUGCAUUUAAUAUGCUUUGAUACAGCACUCUGUAAACAGCCACACCUUUCAGUAAUGACCCUCUGUGACUUACCCUCUUUGUGGAGGGCAUCAAUGUUCGUUUUCUGGAUCAUUGCCAAGUCAGCAGUCUUCCCCAUUAUUGUGGUUUCAAAGAACAAGAGAUACCCAGAAGUUAUACUGUAGGGAUGGUCAUUAAUUGAAACUCAAAUGUAAAUAUUCUAAUAUUUUGAGAUACUGAUUCUUGACUUUCAUGAGCUGUAAGCUCUAAUCAUCAAAAUUAAAACAAACAAACUUUUGAAAUGUUUUACUUUACAUGCAAUGAAUCUAAAAUAUAUGAAAGUUUCACUUUUUGAAAUAACUUGCAAGAACAAAUUAACUUUUUCACGACAUUCUAAUUUGCUAGAAACCACAAAAAAAAAAACAAAAAAAAAACAAUUGAAUGUUAACUUGCACAAAUAAUAAAAAAAAAAUUAAAUACAUAAGUAAAAUUAGAAUGUGAAAAAUGUGAGACUGAGUACAGAAGUGAACUGAAAUUGAGCGGAAGUACGAAGUCUGACGUAGUCAGGCUACAGGUCAUUACCCUUUACCUUAAAUAAAUGUCAAGUAUUUACUCCACAUUCUCCUAUAAACCUAUAAACCAAGUAGUCUGACUUUUUUUGUAUGCUGCAACAUUCCCCAGUUCUGUAACCCAUGAAAGAUGGUGAACCACAUGUUUCUGAAAAGGGAGCUAAAAGACUAACCAUAGUAUUGUUUUUUUUAAUUUAUUUAUAAGCAUUAAAUAUUAAUUUUACAUUCAGAUAAGCAUUUAAACAAUAAAACAAAGGACCCAUGACAAUUUCAGCACUGGGAAGGGAUAAAUAGUAAUGACUGAAAUUAACUGAGUGAUGGAUGCUCCAUACUGAACAAAAAGUAGACUGCAAACAGAUACUUCUGGCAUCUCUGUGUUAUUGGUCAGUGACAUCCAUUUUGAUGCUAACUCUCUUUGCGAUGAGUAGGCUUGACAUCCUAAAAUGGGGAUACAAGUCAGAUAAACAUUUAUUAGACCUAUGGAGAGUACAGUACAACAGGGAAAAGAAAAGAAUCUCUCACAAUUACAUUAAAACUUAUUUGAAUUAGAGAGAAGUGUGGUGUUUUCAUCUGAAUGUAGAUGACCAAACAAGUAAUGCUGCACUCCAGAGUCCAGACCUGCAGUGACAGUGCAAAAUAUUUAUUUAUUUAUCAAUCAAUCAUAAGAACUUGCAUGAUAAAAGGUGGAAAAUAGAAAAAAAAAAAAAGAAGAUAUCAGUAACUUAAGAUUAGCUGAUUGAUGAGUUUCAGUUGGUACUGUUAGGAAAAAUAAAUAAUGUACCUUUUGUGUUAUUGUUUUGCAGCAGGUUGGUCAUGUUUCCUCUGACUCCCACUUUUCAGCUCUCUGAUAGGGUGGAGCUAAAACUUUAACAGUGCUCUCUGGGAUAGAUGAACAUCUACAACAACCAAAUACAGUGUGUUUUGAAUAAUAUACAAUUACUUCAGCAAAACAAAUAUUUAUAUUUCGCUAUACUAUAACCAGUGUUGGGCACGUUACUUUAAAAAAGUAAUUAGUUAUAGUUACUAGUUACUUCUUAUAAAUAGUAACUGAGUUAGUAACUGAGUUACAUCAUUAUAAAAGUAACUAAUUACCAGGGAAAUUAACUAUUGCGUUACUUUUUAAAAAAUGUUCAAAUGUCAAAUGACUUUGGAUGCCCAAUAUUAAAUAUGUUAAAUUAAUGAAAUGGACACUAAAAAGAAUAAAUUAUUAUUAUAAAACAUUGUACAUUAAUCUACACUAUUUAUCUACUGACACUUAGUAUUAGUCAGUCAAGCAUUAUAAUAUAAUAUUAUGAUUAUUUAAUAUUAUAUGAUGAUAGAACUUUAGUAAUUAGAAUAACCAAGUAUGAAUGCAUAUUUGUCAUCAAUAUAAAACGCACUAAGGAUUAAUGAGCUGCUGGGUUCAUGAAUAUUAAUCACGUUGUCUGCGUUCGCUAGAAUUGAUUUGCUGAAAUCAAAACAGUGAUGAUAAUAGGUGAGCGCCAGCCAAUGAGAUUGUCGUUUGCGCAUUAGUUCCACCCACUACCAGAGAAACCGGCAGUUCUUAAAAGUUAUUUUUUACAGGAAAAUACAACAAAGAAUAUCGUUUACAUGUAGCGCGUCAGUUCUGCAUGUUAUGAAAGACUCUCUUGCUCUGUAUCUUUCUUUGCGUGCGUGUAUGUGAGAGAAAGCGACGGCGAGUCGUGCGCCUUCACACUAGAGUUUAUGGUACGUCAAAAUACAGCUACACUGCGCAUCCAUUCAGAUGUACUGAAAAAUUAAAUUCUAAUAAUAUAAUAUAGUAACGCAAUAUUUUAUUGUCAGUAACGGUAACGGCGUUGUAACGGGGGAAACAGUAAUUCGUUUGAUUACUCGUUACUGAAAAAAAUAACGCCGUUAGUAACGCCGUUUAUUUAUAACGCCGUUAUUCCCAUCACUGACUAUAACUGCAAACACCAAAUACUCACAGUUAUCCACUGAAAAAAUGGAAACAUUUCCAUCAGCUUCUCUCUUUGUUCUUCUUGGUUUGAAUUCAUGUUUAUAACGGCAGUUUGACGGCGAUUUGACUGAAACUUUGUUUCAUCUUUUCCUAUACGUUACAUAUAGGUCCAAUACAAUCUACAGGGCAAAAAAAGUAUUACGUUAGGCUAUAACAUGAACUCUCGCCAGCAUUAUUGAUCAAUUCACAACAGUUUUAUCAAGAUACUUUAGGGAUUAAUGUUAAAAAUGACAAACCUCCCGGCGGAGAAUUGCGCAGGCCUGGACAACGCGAUAAACCAGCUUCUUCUUUUAGCUUCUUGAAAGAAACGUGUAACGUUAUGCUAACUAAAAAUGACAAGGGUUUAUGUAAAAGUGAUUAAAAUAUGCUCAAAUUAAUUAAUAUUCUCACUUACCAAUGUAAUCGUCAUUCUCCCGAGCGCUGAGCGCAGUCAGCGCACCGUGAACCGUUGAAGUUUAAACAGCAGCACUUGCGCGCUUUUAGUGAUCACUCUCGCGAGAGGCGCGCAACUGAAAUGCGGCACUGUGCAGACAGGACAAAACAGAUCAGUGCAUAGAUACACAUUCAGGUUGUUUGCCGUUUAUGUCAAAGAUCAUUUUAUGCAUCUGUUUGGAUGGAUGAGUUACAAGAAUAGCCUUUUUAAAGGUCCCAUGACAUGCUGCUUUUUGGAUGUUUUUAUAUAGGCCUAAGUGGUCCCUAGUACUGUAUCUGAAGUCUGUUUCCCCAACCUGGUCUCACAGAAUUCCAUGUAAUGACCACGGACCCUUAACUUUGAAUCUUAAAGCACCUAACCCACCCCUACCCUAAACCUACCCACUUCUGAACAAUAUAAAACGCACACAGGCAAAUACAAGUACAGUCACAGGUAUUUAUUGCAAAAUGACCAUAAACAAGCAGUAUAAAAGCAUUACAAACAAGUCGUGUUGCAUUCCAAGUCUUCUGAAACCAUACAAAGUCUUUAUGCAAAGAAGUGAUUAAAACACAAGGUUUUAAUCGCUGAAAAUGAUCCCGCUCCGUUAACGCGUUCACAUCUCAUUCAAAAAGAUACUCCCAUCCCGUAGCAUGACGCAAUCGGUCACGACAUACAAGAACCAAUAGCCUGUCACAACAGCAUGACGCAAUCGAUCACGAGACACGCAAGAGCCAAUGGCAUUUCAGAAACAAAGCUGACGUAAGGUUUCUUCUGGCGGCAUUUUUUGAAUUUAUGCACAGAGACUGCAGCACAUAGCGGACGGAGAGGGCGAUCGCGUCUAUUCCUCUCACAAAUCAAUCGUUUUGCCUCGGAAGACUUGGAACAUUAAUACGUUUUGAAUAAAUUAUGACGGUAGUUGUGUCUGUUUGUUGUAUCUUCUGUUUUAUUGACAGGUUUAGGGGCAGGGUUCGGGUUACGUGCUCAUAAAUGUGUAAUGUAAUAUAAAUAAAACUGUUGUGGCUGUUUACAUUGAAAAAUCACACCCCAACAUAUAUGCAAUAAUGGCAAUGUUGUUACCCAAUAUAUAAUUUACAACCUGGUCUCAGAGUUCCGUCACUGACUUACAUUAGUAUCACUUCUGUGAGCCCAUCACAGAAUUUCUGGCGAUUCCGUGAUGCCACCACAGAUUCGGGGGUUAAGAGUCCGUGGUCAUUACACGGAAUUCUGUGAGACCGGGUUUGUUUCCCGAAAUUCAGCCUUGGUGCAGAAUUUCAGCCACUACGAGCCAGUCCCACAAUGAGCUUUCCUUAGGACGUGCCAUUUCUGUGUCUGUAGCUUUAAAUGCUAAUGAGGAGGAGAGAGGCGGGGCAAGGUGGAGGGUGGGUGUGUGGCCUUAACCAGCAUGCGCUAAUAUUGACAGUGGAUGCGCAUGCGCUAAUAUUGACAGUGGAUGUAUCGCAAUGGCUCGUAGACACACAGUCCUUCAAGCUUUUCAGUUUUACCCAGAAUCUGAUCCGGAUGGAGAAGCACCGGAUGAAGAAGUUCAGGCUACAGCAGGACGCUGUAAAAUCGGAGAAAGAUGCGCUACCGUUUCUUCUGCAUUCUUUGUCUGCACGGAAGUUGGAACUGCAUUUGAAAAGCCUGACAAAGGCCUGGGCUGAUUCAAUCCUCUCCUUCACCAGGGACUAUCCCAGUCUAAGAGAAAUCAGCUUAGAAGCUGACAGGUUACUGGAGGAAGCAGAAAGUGUCUUGAAGAAGUCACACCCAAAGCCUGACUGCACACUGACUGUACAAGGGUUUUUGUUUCUGGACUGAUCUACAGACUAGGAGUGCAGUGGAAAGAGACAGCUGGAGGAGGAUUCAACAAAGCCUUUCUUUUUAUUAUUACUUUUAUUGUUCUUUGACUGACAGGCUUUAUGUGAUUUUAUUUUAUUUUGAUUUAUCUUUGAUUAAUUAAUGAUUUGAAUUAAUGUAUUGGUUUUGCUCUAUUUUGCCUUGCAACUCUUUUUUUUUUUUUUUUUUUUUUACAGAUUUUUUAUCAUUUCGAAGUUGUGUAAGUAUUCUUUAGGGCUGCCAUGUUAACAAGUAAUGCUGUUCUUAUCUAAAUACUUAGUUAAUUGUUAUAUAAUCAAAAGGUAUCAUUCUGUUCCUUGUUGUUUAGAACCGUGGGAAAACACCACCAGGGUGUUUAUGUUCAACACCUUUACAAGAUCUACACAUCAGUGACUAUACAGUGACUAUACAGAACAAUAUUGUUUUCCUGCAGUGGUUCAGAUUUGUACUGCUCAUUCAUUUUUACCUCACUCACUCAUUUUCAUAUAGAUCUGUAUGUGUCUGCAAAAUAUUUUAUAAUUUAGUUCCAUAAAAUUUUCUUUAAAAAAAAUAAAUAAAUAAAAUGGUAGCUUGAAAAUACAUGGCUAUUAAUUAAUAAACGUUAUAAUCAAGCUAUAUAUCUCAGACACACUGCAGUUGAACAAAAUGACGUUGCAAAUGCGAUAAAUAGAUAGAUGUUUAUGUUGGGGUUAGGGCCUUAAAAUGGAGUAAAUCAAUUAUUAAAUAAAGAAGGACAGAAAUGUAUAUCAUUGAAUGUACUGCAAAUAAAGUUAACAGACUUAAUAUCGCAUUUUUGUCAUCUGACUUGUGUUGCAGUCUUGAUUUAAACCACACCAUGCUGGUUUCGUCUGGCCAGAGGAGAAAUGGCCCCCCAACCUGGUUUCUUCCAAGGUUUUUUUCUUUUCUUCUCAAUUUCUGUCACCAAUGAAGUUUUGGUUCCUUGUCACUGUUGCCUUUGGCUUGCUUAGUUGGGGACUUGAUUGAACAGAUAUUAUUUGAACUGAACUGCUUGAUCAGUUUACUGACAUCACUGAAUCAAUGAUGAACUGAAUUUAACUGAAACAUUUAGUUUACUAUUGUCCUCCUGCAUUAUCGACAAACUGUUUUCUUGUUUAAUACUGUAAAGCUGCUCUGACACAAUCUGUACUGUAUAAAACGCUAUAUAAAUAAAGGUGAUUUGACUAUA
This is a long non-coding RNA of Onychostoma macrolepis, 7392 nucleotides long. RefSeq lists it as uncharacterized. NCBI's taxonomy places the organism in Eukaryota, Metazoa, Chordata, Actinopteri, Cypriniformes, Cyprinidae. The transcript has 3 exons. The record is from RefSeq and is a predicted model, not a curated record.